Molecule: transfer RNA, 71 nt
Filed under: Bos taurus (domestic cattle)
Lineage: Eukaryota; Metazoa; Chordata; Mammalia; Artiodactyla; Bovidae
Also listed under: 5 other names
Rfam family: tRNA
About the family: Transfer RNA (tRNA) molecules are approximately 80 nucleotides in length.
Source: Rfam by way of RNAcentral
UCCCUGGUGGCUCAGUGGUAAAGCAUCUGCCUGCCAAUGUAGAAGACACAGGUUUGAUCCUGAAUUGGGAA